RNAcentral lists this ribosomal RNA (451 nucleotides) under uncultured cyanobacterium. RNAcentral describes it as "bacterial SSU rRNA". It matches the Rfam family "Bacterial small subunit ribosomal RNA", at positions 28 to 524 of the family's 1533-position model. Lineage: Bacteria; Bacillati; Cyanobacteriota. The record is from RNAcentral.
GAUGAACGCUGGCGGUAUGCUUAACACAUGCAAGUCGAACGGUCACUUCGGUGAUAGUGGCGGACGGGCGAGUAACGCGUGAGAAUCUGUCUUCAGGUCGGGGACAACAGUUAGAAAUGACUGCUAAUACCGGAUAUGCCUUAUGGUGAAAGAUUUAUUGCCUGAAAAAGAGCUCGCGUCAGAUUAGCUAGUAGGUGGUGUAAGAGACUACCUAGGCGACGAUCUGUAGCGGGUCUGAGAGGACGAUCAGCCACACUGGAACUGAGACACGGUCCAGACUCCUACGGGAGGCAGCAGUGGGGAAUUUUCCGCGAUGGGCGCAAGCCUGACGGAGCAAUACCGCGUGAGGGAGGAAGCUUUUUGGAGUGUAAACCUCUUUUAUUAGGGAAGAAUUGAUGACGGUACCUAAUGAAUCAGCAUCGGCUAACUCCGUGCCAGCAGCCGCGGUAAU